This 784-nucleotide ribosomal RNA is filed under the name uncultured bacterium. Its description in RNAcentral is "bacterial SSU rRNA". It matches the Rfam family "Bacterial small subunit ribosomal RNA", at positions 64 to 831 of the family's 1533-position model. The record is from RNAcentral.
GAACGAUAACUCGAAGCUUGCUUCGAGGGCACAGUGGCAAACGGGUGAGUAACACGUGGGUAACCUGCCUUCGGAUGGGGGAUAGCUCUAGGAAACUAGUGGUAAUACCGCAUAAUACCGAUUGGUCAUAAGACCGCUCGGUCAAAGACGCUUUCGGGCGUCACCUGAAGAUGGGCCCGCGCACUAUUAGCUAGUUGGUAGGGUAAUGGCCUACCAAGGCAACGAUGGUUAGCCGGCCUGAGAGGGUGUACGGCCACAUUGGGACUGAGAUACGGCCCAGACUCCUACGGGAGGCAGCAGCUAAGAAUAUUCCGCAAUGGGCGCAAGCCUGACGGAGCGACGCCGCGUGGAGGAUGAAGGCUUUCGGGUUGUAAACUCCUUUUCUUAGGGAAGAAUAAAGUCGGCAGGAAAUGGUCGACCGAUGACGGUACCUAAGGAAUAAGCCCCGGCUAAUUACGUGCCAGCAGCCGCGGUAAUACGUAUGGGGCAAGCGUUGUUCGGAUUCACUGGGCGUAAAGGGCGUGUAGGCGGCGUGGUAAGUCGGAUGUGAAAUCUCCAGGCUCAACCUGGAAACUGCAUUCGAAACUGCCAUGCUUGAGUACCGGAGAGGGAAACGGAAUUCCUGGUGUAGGGGUGAAAUCUGUAGAUAUCAGGAAGAACACCGGUGGCGAAGGCGGUUUCCUGGCCGGAUACUGACGCUGAGGCGCGAAAGCUAGGGGAGCAAACAGGAUUAGAUACCCUGGUAGUCCUAGCUGUAAACGUUGUGCACUAGGUGUAAGUGGUU